RNAcentral lists this ribosomal RNA (562 nucleotides) under bacterium tet-w-38. Its description in RNAcentral is "bacterial SSU rRNA". It matches the Rfam family "Bacterial small subunit ribosomal RNA", at positions 49 to 639 of the family's 1533-position model. The record is from RNAcentral.
CUACACAUGCAGUCGUACAAGGUAGCCGAGAGCUUGCUCUUGGGUGACGAGUGGCGGACGGGUGAGUAAUGUCUGGGAACUGCCCGAUGGAGGGGGAUAACUACUGGAAACGGUAGCUAAUACCGCAUAACGUCGCAAGACCAAAGAGGGGGACCUUCGGGCCUCUUGCCAUCGGAUGUGCCCAGAUGGGAUUAGCUAGUAGGUGGGGUAACGGCUCACCUAGGCGACGAUCCCUAGCUGGUCUGAGAGGAUGACCAGCCACACUGGAACUGAGACACGGUCCAGACUCCUACGGGAGGCAGCAGUGGGGAAUAUUGCACAAUGGGCGCAAGCCUGAUGCAGCCAUGCCGCGUGUAUGAGAGGCUUCGGUUGUAAAGUACUUUCAGCGAGGAGGAGUGUUGUGGUUAUACCGCAGCAUUGACGUACUCGCAGAGAGCACCGGCUACUCCGUGCAGCAGCCGCGUAUACGGAGGUGCAGCGUAAUCGAAUACUGGCGUAAGCGCACGCAGCGUCUGUCAGUCGAUGUGAAUCCCGGCUCACCUGGACUGCAUCGAACUGCAGC